RNAcentral lists this ribosomal RNA (639 nucleotides) under uncultured Actinoplanes sp. Its description in RNAcentral is "bacterial SSU rRNA". It matches the Rfam family "Bacterial small subunit ribosomal RNA", at positions 231 to 885 of the family's 1533-position model. The record is from RNAcentral. Lineage: Bacteria; Bacillati; Actinomycetota; Actinomycetes; Micromonosporales; Micromonosporaceae.
UCGCGGCCUAUCAGCUUGUUGGUGAGGUAACGGCUCACCAAGGCGUCGACGGGUAGCUGGUCUGAGAGGAUGAUCAGCCACACUGGGACUGAGACACGGCCCAGACCCCUACGGGAGGCAGCAGUAGGGAAUCUUGCACAAUGGGCGAAAGCCUGAUGCAGCAACGCCGCGUGCGGGAAGAAGGCCCUAGGGUUGUAAACCGCUUUCAGCAGGGAAGAAAAUGACGGUACCUGUAGAAGAAGGUGCGGCCAACUACGUGCCAGCAGCCGCGGUAAGACGUAGGGCGCAAGCGUUGUCCGGAUUUAUUGGGCGUAAAGAGCUCGUAGGCGGCUUGUCGCGUCGACUGUGAAAAACCACGACUCAACCGUGGGACUGCAGUCGAUACGGGCAGGCUAGAGUUCGGUAGGGGAGACUGGAAUUCCUGGUGUAGCGGUGAAAUGCGCAGAUAUCAGGAGGAACACCGGUGGCGAAGGCGGGUCUCUGGGCCGAUACUGACGCUGAGGAGCGAAAGCGUGGGGAGCGAACAGGAUUAGAUACCCUGGUAGUCCACGCUGUAAACGUUGGGCGCUAGGUGUGGGGGGCCUCUCCGGUCCUCUGUGCCGCAGCUAACGCAUUAAGCGCCCCGCCUGGGGAGUACGG